CCUACGGGAGGCAGCAGUGGGGAAUCUUGCGCAAUGGGCGGAAGCCUGACGCAGCAACGCCGCGUGUGGGAAGACGGCUUUCGGGUUGUAAACCACUUUCAGGGGGGACGAAGCUUCCGAGGUUAAUAGCCUACGGGGUGACGGUACCCCCAGAAGAAGCCCCGGCUAACUACGUGCCAGCAGCCGCGGUAAUACGUAGGGGGCGAGCGUUGUCCGGAAUCAUUGGGCGUAAAGCGCGUGUAGGCGGCUUGAUAAGUCUGGUGUGAAAUCUUGGGGCUUAACCCCAAGCCUGCACUGGAUACUGUCAAGCUUGAGUCCGGGAGGGGAGAGCGGAAUUCCUAGUGUAGCGGUGAAAUGCGCAGAUAUUAGGAAGAACACCGGUGGCGAAGGCGGCUCUCUGGAACGGUACUGACGCUGAGACGCGAAAGCGUGGGGAGCGAACAGGAUUAGAUACCCUGGUAGUCCACGCCGUAAACGAUGGGCACUAGAUGUGGGCGGUGUCGACUCCGUCCGUGUCGAAGCUAACGCAUUAAGUGCCCCGCCUGGGGAGUACGGCCGCAAGGCUAAAACUCAAAUGAAUUGACGG
This 586-nucleotide ribosomal RNA is filed under the name uncultured bacterium. RNAcentral's name for it is "bacterial SSU rRNA". It matches the Rfam family "Bacterial small subunit ribosomal RNA", at positions 338 to 916 of the family's 1533-position model. The record is from RNAcentral.